UACUUUUAAACAUUAUUUUUAGGAGUGGCAAACCGUACCUCGUGUAACAAUACAUUUUUAUUAAUUAUUGUUGAGUUUAUUAAUAAUUAUAUGUUGUGGUGAUUUGUUGUUUAAUUAUUGAGAAAUUUUUGAUAUUUAGGAAUUUCUUAGGAGUUUAGGUGGUUUAGAGUUUCUUUUAGAUUGAGGUUUAAUUCGAUUUUGAGAGGAAAGUAUAUAAGAUUUCUUUUAAGAAACUUGAGUGAGAAAAAGCAAAGAGAGGAGCUUCGGUAUUCUAAAAACUCUUCUUCUUCUUUCUAGCCUUCUAAGAGUUGUAGAAGAUCUCAAUCGAGUAUCUUGUUGGUGAUUCAAGGCUGUUGAUGAUGUUGGAAAUCUAAGUUUGUGUAGAGUAUUGGUAUUAGCUUAGAGUUGUUCUUCUUCUUCCUCGUUUCUCUUCAAUUCCAAGGUGCAACAUGGGAUGCGUCAAGCGUUGUUAAGGUCAAGAGUAAAUCUCACGUUGGGUAUGGAAUGACCUUUGAUGAGUGCAAAAGCUCUAGGGGUGUCGGGCAUGGACACUCUAGAGAGCUCUUCGUGGUAUUCUCGCUAGGCGUGAACUCGAUCACAUCGGGCACGAUUUAAUCAGAGACUAAUGUAGUGCUCUUGAAGUAUCUUAUCAGGUGUGAGAUGUGUGUCACUAGGCAUCGUCCUGCCUGAGAAUUCCUUGUUGAUCUUCUGUUAAUUUCAAUAAUGUAAUUUUUGUAUUGUAAUGUUGAUGUGGAUGUGAAUUAAACUCCGUUGAUGAAUAUAUGAAGGCAUGUGAUUAGUAAUGAGA
Non-coding RNA from Cajanus cajan (pigeon pea), 808 nucleotides. NCBI's taxonomy places the organism in Eukaryota, Viridiplantae, Streptophyta, Magnoliopsida, Fabales, Fabaceae. The record is from RefSeq and is a predicted model, not a curated record.